UUGGUGUUAUGGCAUUAUAAAAGCAAAACCCAUCAAUGAAUUCAAAACAAACCGAAGAAAAGAAAAAGUGAAAAAUGGAGUCUCCAAUAUUGGCCUUUGUUUUAGUUGCAUUAACCUUCUUUUUUAGCUUCCCAAUUCUCUCCACAUUCGCUGCUCAGCCUCAUCCAUUGCCUUCUCUUUACUACACAAACAUUGUUCCGCCACCACCACCGCCACCGCCGUCAUUUUCCCCGUAUGAAUAUGAACUGCAAGCAACGAGAAGGAGAAGGAGAAGGCACUUACGUUCUCCGCCGCCACCACCACCGCCACCGAGGUUCCAAUGGCCAAGAAGGCCAAUGCGUAGAUCUCCCCCGCCUCCUUUCUAAAACACACCAACUACACUGUUGGUUUGCAAGCAUCAGCAAGAAAGGAAGAUUGCUUUGACUUCGCUUUUAUCAUACCAAGCAGCCACCAGAGACGGGGUGAUUUACAAAUUUUUUCGAGUUUGAUUGAUGUUUAAUUGUUGGAUUUUCUUUUACCAACUUAUAUUGUUAUAUUUUAUAGGUCAAGUUUAUAUCUUUAAUAAAUAUUUUUUUGUUAUGUCUAUAGUUCUAUUUAUUGUAAUUUUCUGAA
Benincasa hispida (wax gourd) is the source of this 612-nucleotide long non-coding RNA. RefSeq lists it as uncharacterized. NCBI's taxonomy places the organism in Eukaryota, Viridiplantae, Streptophyta, Magnoliopsida, Cucurbitales, Cucurbitaceae. The record is from RefSeq and is a predicted model, not a curated record.